AACUCGGUGAGAGGCAUUAGAACUAAAAAGUGAUUCUGUUCUGCAUGGAGGAAUAGCAUGGAGAAAAUAGCUCUUCAAGCUAGUGCACUGCUCUAGAGGAGCUAAAAGGGAGUGGAGUAGCUGCCUCAGACAAGGCAAGUUUCAGGCAAGGUCACACAAGUUAGGACACACGGGAAAUAGAAGCAAAUGACAGCUCAUUUCACACCCCUGUGUAUGGGAAGCUCACAGCGAAGGAAGGCCAUAUGAGCAACACAUGGUGCGGCUCCUGCCCCGAGAGCGGGCGAGAGAAUUGGUGAAGGUGGCACUACUGAAAACCCCAGUUCCCUGAUGUUUGCCACAGAAUUUGGUGCAGGGCAAAUGGCUAUGUGGUCUGUGAUGCUCAGCAGCAGGCAUCUGCACUGCUCCCACCUGCAAAGUGAGUUCUGCCUCGGUGAGAAGAAGGAAACACUCUGGGAAGCUGGCAAGGACCAGGGGUGGUCAGUUCAGCCUGAUUUUAUUGCAGUGGCCAGUGGCACAGCUGGAGGCUGCCAACUGCAGUUGACGAGUAGUUAUUUGGCUCUGUUUGCUCAAGGUUUCCUCUGGGAGCCCCAGCACUGUCUCCUGAAAGCAGCUCUGAGGGUGUGUGGGGGUGGAGCUGAAUACAAUGCCUGCAUUUGUGGCUAACUACAAGCAAUACAUUAUGAAGAUGAUGGUAUUCAGACACACACCCAAACAAUUUGAUUCAGACAAAUUGGAUACAAGACUUUGACCAGCAUAAGAAGAACAGGCAUUGUACAGACAGGCAGCAAUGCAGACCUGCUGGAGGAGCUCAGCAGGAGGAGAGCCCGUGCUGCACCAGCAACGUGGUCUGAACAGAGGUCUGUGGUGGUCCAGCUCAUUGGAAACUUUCAUGCUUAAAUCAGGAGGAUGCUAUAGUUGGAGCUAAUCUGCGAGAUAAGAAUUUGCCGAGGGCAUCAACAGCAGUUUUCCCAGGCUUUGGAACAAGGAUUAUGUAGUCAAUCCACAAAUGACUCAAAUCUUUGAAAAAACGGACAUGGUUAUCAGAGGGGCUUUGACAGCAGCAAGGACGGGAGUGCUAUCUGGCGUAGUGCAUCAGAGGCUCUUAUUUCAUCUCAUUAAUGCACUCAGGACAUCAACAUGGGCCACCAGUCCAGGGGAAUCAGUUGGUCCUUUCCCAACCAGGCCGUGAAGCUGAACAUCAAGAGCCAUCGCCCUCCUGCCCUUUGCACUGACCAUGCUGCCCUGCCAAUGUCAAGACUGAUGGGCUGUUGGGGAGAACAACUAAAUUCUGCCCCCAAUACUUCUGCGUAUGCUGAUGAAACAAGAACCGACUAGGAAAGGAAACAAUUCUCCUAACUUUUUUGCAUGAAGUGCAGUGGGGAGUGAAGAAUUCAAUGAAGAAUUCAGCGUGGCAGAGGAAUGGGAGCGUAGGGAUUUCUGAUAUGGUUUGGAUACUGCUGCCACCAUGUAAAAGAGAUCUCAUAAUAAAAGUGUUGAUCAAAGCUUACACCACAUAUUGAUUCUUUCAUCAGAAAGUCAAGAAAACAACUAUUGUGUGUUUUUUUCAUGAAUAUAAAGCAGAGAACUUGGGUGAGAGGAAAAAUGUUAAAAUAACGAAGCACCAGAAGGGGUUAAAAGGGAAGACCCGAGUCUAGAGCAGAAAGAAGGUGCCAAAAGUUAAACAUUAAAAGAAAAUUCAUGAAGAAAUAUUUGUAUUCAAAAUCUAUGACCAUUAUGAUAUCAAAAUAACUACUGUUCAAUUCCAUGCUUAUAGUAGCUUUGUAGUCAGGAAAACUGCCAUCACUUGCAUCCCACUAUUAAAAUAUAUUCUAUACCAUUCCAAAAUCCCAAAAGACAAUAAAAAAUACCUGGAUUUGGGAAUUAGACAUAAGUUGCUGUUUUUUCCCAGAAAUAUUUUAUCAGAACAUUUGAAUAAUGUGGGGUUUAGAUCAGGUGCCAAACAGUCCAUGCGCUUGGGCUGUGUUUAUGACAUGGGUACGUGGUCACUGUGAGAUGCACGCAUGGCGUUGCUGUUCACCUCCUGUAGCUGAACAUCAUGGACCCAGUAAAGUCAACACAGAGCUUGCCAUUGACUUCAGUGGAGCCCGAAUUUCAUCCCAGGCCAGGAGCAGCUGAUGGAGGGUGCCACAAGCUGGUGACCUGCAGCAAUUUCAGGUCAGUGAUACAGAAGCAAAAAAAAAUUCCUUGUCACAUAACCGCUGUAGCUCAGACAACCCGAAUUUCACUUUGGAUUUUCUACUGCAUUUCCGUUCACAUCGCAACUCUAUAGAUAAUGUGCUAAGGCAUCGUUCUUAAAAAAGAAAGAUUUAACUUUUUUAAAGAGAUGGGUGAUUUGUAGAAGACAUUUGUGUAAUUUUGUA
Molecule: long non-coding RNA, 2381 nt
Organism: Cygnus olor (mute swan)
Lineage: Eukaryota; Metazoa; Chordata; Aves; Anseriformes; Anatidae
Exons: 7
Source: RefSeq, a predicted model, not a curated record